GACGAACGGCUGGCGGCGUGCUUAACACAUGCAAGUCGAACGGGAGUAUUGAAGAAGCUUGCUUUAGAGAUACUUUAGUGGCGGACGGGUGAGUAACGCGUGAGGAGCUGUCCUAUGCAGGGGGACAACAGCUGGAAACGGCUGCUAGUACCCCAUAAGCCGAGAGGUAAAAGGAUCAAUCCGGCAGAGGAGGUACUCGCGUCCUAUCAGCUAGUAGGUGAGGUAACGGCUCACCUAGGCGAAGACGGGUAGCCGGCCUGAGAGGGCGAACGGCCACACUGGAACUGAGAUACGGCCCAGACUCCUACGGGGGGCAGCAGUGGGGAAUAUUGCGCAAUGGGGGCAACCCUGACGCAGCAACGCCGCGUGAGUGAGGAAGGUUUUCGGACCGUAAAGCUCUGUCGAGCGGGAAGAAAUGUAUCAUGGCUAAUAUCCAUGAUACUUGACGGUACCGCUAAAGGAAGCACCGGCUAACUCCGUG
This 481-nucleotide ribosomal RNA is filed under the name uncultured bacterium. RNAcentral describes it as "bacterial SSU rRNA". It matches the Rfam family "Bacterial small subunit ribosomal RNA", at positions 35 to 507 of the family's 1533-position model. The record is from RNAcentral.